Long non-coding RNA from Ruditapes philippinarum (Manila clam), 5976 nucleotides. RefSeq lists it as uncharacterized. The record is from RefSeq and is a predicted model, not a curated record. NCBI's taxonomy places the organism in Eukaryota, Metazoa, Mollusca, Bivalvia, Venerida, Veneridae. The transcript has 5 exons.
UAUUAUUAGACCCACAUUUUGUGGAAAAAAUGUGGAGCUAUUGUUAUGAUCCUUUCAUUGGUGUUGGUUAAACUUUUUAGCUCACCUGUCACAAAGUGACAAGGUGAACUUUUGUGAUUGAUUUUCGUCCGCCGUCCGUCCAUUUGGGCUAUUUAAGAGAAGUAGGGGGGCCAUGUGACUGUAAAUAGAACAAAAGAGAACAAUAAAGUUCAUUCAGUAACAAAAGAAUAGGGUGCCAUGGCCGCUCUAGUAAACAAAAGAAAAUUACAAAACAAAUGGCCCCUUAGUCCAUUUAAAUGACAGUUCAGAUAUUAAGUAGUGAGUGUCUACCAAGUUUGUUCAAAUAAAAGCCAUGGGGUAAAAAUUGGUCCCACGUUUGGGUCAUUGUUUUUCCCUAUAAGUGUAUAGUUAAAACUUAAAAGAUCUUCCUUUAUAAAAACCAAAGAGCUAGAGCUUAGAUAUUUAGCACCAACCUUGUACAAAUAAAAGCCAUGGGGUUAAAAUUAUCCUGGCUGGUGGUGGGGGGGGGGUGAGUCAUUGAUUUUCUUUGCAUGUAUAUAUUAGGAACUAAUGUUUUUACACAUGCACUUUUUCAGAUACAAAUAUAAACAUUGUGAUAUCAGUUUAAGAUUUAGAUUUUAUAUCUGCUUUUGUUUACAAUAUUACUUGUUCCUUUUCAUGGAGAAUUUCAGGUGAGCAUUUUCAGGGCCAUCAUGGCUCUUUUGUUAUUGUUAAGGUCCAUUUCAAAAGUGUUCACUUUCAAACUUGGUAUACAUGUUUACUAUCAACAUCAUAAAUAUGCAGAGGAAAAUACAUGUAAUCCUAAAUUUAAUCUGUGCUAAGUUGAACAAUAUUUUUGUGGUCCAUUUCUCAAAAUCUAACUGGAAUAAAAUAACUUGCUCACUAUAAAAAUUUAAAUGCUUUUAUCAGGGCUUGGAAUCAAAACUGUGUCGUAUCCUACAAGAUAUGUAAACAAACGCCGCCAUCUUGGAACGAAAAUGUUAUGUUUUUGUUAAUUACUCUUUUUAUUGGAAAUGACAGAAAACCAAAUAUAUGUAUUAACACGCUCCACUUUUUACCGCUUCGUUUGGUAUAUGUUGAUUGCAGAACUAUUUUGUAUAACAAAAGUUAAAGCAAACUUGCAACUUGAAGUGGGACAUAUUUUUUAAGGAGUUUUGUGGAUACAAUUCAGUUCAAUUUGCUAUAUCCAUUGUUUAUUUCAUUCAGAUCAAUUAUAUACUCAUUUCAUAAUUAACCAUAAACUUCAAAAUAUAAUUUUACAUCAUUUACUAAAAUUUCAUUAACCCAUUACUUCAUGAGCAUUUUGUGAAAAAUGGCUGUUUUCAUUGAAAAGUCUCCUGUUACAAGUUCAAAUUGCUAUAAAACUUUUAAAACUGCUUCAAUACUAAUCAAAUUGACUGGACCAUUGCCUUUGUAACAACAUGCCCAGGCUUAAAUUUCCUGUUACCAUGGCAAUGAGGGGACAUCUCAAAAUUGCCAAAAAUCACUAUUUUGCGUUGAUUUUUUCCAUCAAAAUUGAUUUCAAAGUGCUGCAACUUCUCAAUGGAUUGAGAUAGAGUCAAAUGCUUUUCAGCAUUCAUUAAAUGUUACCUUAUAAUCGAUCUGGGGUCAUUUUUAGCCUCUCACAAGUCCAAAAUAUUCUUAGUGGUGAGGGGGACUGCCGCCCCCCUUCAAACCCCCCAAGGGGGCACAUUCCCCUUCAGGCAACCCCCUGAUGUAUCUUUCGGUUGGGGGGGGCCAUGCCGAAAAAGUGGUCACUUUUUUAAACAACAUUUCUCAAACAAAAACAAGCAUUGAGAGCCUAAAUAAGGCAUUUUUUCACCAUUUUAGACAACAAUAAAAGGGGGGGGGGUGAAAAAGCCCUUAAAAGGCGUGUAUAUCUGGUAACAGGUUAAAAGAAAUGUUUAUUUUGAAAAAAAAAAAUGAUUAGUACCAAAUGAUACGACACAGUUGUAUUAAUAUUGUAGGCUGUAUAUUGAUUGGUUCAGCUAUUUGCUUGUGGAUUUAUUAAGUAUUUUUAGAAUUAUUGCCCUUGACUUAUUAAAGAUUUGCAAUUUUCAACUUAUGUCAGAGUUAUUGCCCUUUAGAUAGUAUAAAUUUGCAAUUUUCAAUUUGUGUGGACACAAGUUAAAAAUUGCAAAUUUUAACUACAUCAAGGGCAAUAACUUUAAGAAAACAAAAUAAAUCCACAAGCAAAACCCCAGGUGCAUAACUUCACAUGCUUAGCAACAUUCCUGUAAAGUUUCAUGAUUCUUGGUCAAAUACUUUUUGAGCUACAUGCGACACAAGAUGAAGUUGAAAAUUGCAAAUUUUUAGUAAGUCAAGGGCAAUAACUCAUAAAAAAUAUUAAAUAAGUCCACUAGAAAAUACCCAGGUGCACAACUACACAUACUGAGCAAUAUUCCUGUGAAGUUUCAUGACUCUAGCUCAAAUACUUUUUGAGCUACAUGUGACACAAAAUAAAAAGGACCGACGGAUGGACAGGACGGAUAGAUGGACGGACCGACCUAAAAGGGUAAAUCCCCCUCCUCCUAAAAUGGGGGGUACAAAAAGUUGCAAUUCUGUCGCUGGGGAUAGGGGGUGCUUUGACAGCAUACCAACGCUCUUUCUUUACAAAAUAAUGCUGCGGAUAUCUACAUGUUUGCAUACCAAAAAUAAUUAAAAUCUGAGAUGUUGUAAAAUUUUGGUCGGAAAGUAGAUAGCUUCCUUAAUAUCAAAUUAUUUUCAUAAUUGCUCUACAGUAUACAAGUUAGAGAUCUUCCUUUCGCUCACUGAGAACAAAUAACAGGUAGGAAGUGAUUUAUUUGGACGAAUGUGAAGGAGAAGAUAUGAAAGUGACAUUAUUAACAAAUAAUACAUGGCCUUGAGGGCAAUAUGCAAGUUUAUGGACUGAUUGGUCAGACUGAGGAAGGUAUAUGGUCCGAAGUGCAGCUGAGGGCAGUAUACAUUCCGAGGUCUAACCAACCAGUCUGUAAACUUGCAUUAUGCCCGAAAGGCCAUGUUUUAUUUGUUAUAUUAUACCGAAUCUAAAUCCUUUCAUCCCUUUUGUUGCUGACAUUUUUACUAUAAUUUACUUUCAAAUAAUAAUAUAUUUGUUCAGUGUGUGAAAUAUUUCAAACCCUAGUUGGAAUUAUUAUUAGCUCGACAGAGCCGAAGGCUCAGGGUGAGCUAUAAGUAUCAAAGUAUCAAAGCAUCCUUCGUCCGUCGUCAUGCGUCAACAAUCGUCUUCUUUUCUGAAACUGCUGAGCAGAUUUACUUCAAAUUCAAUCUGUAGCAUCCUUGUGACAGUCGCACUUGAAUUUGCUCAUGUCAUUUCAAUUGGCCCCUUUUAGGGGUCAACAGAGCUAAAAAUAGAAAAACCUUUAAACAUCUUCUACUACAGAACUAAUUGAUGGAUGAUCACCAAACUUUGUCUGUAGCAUUCUUGGGUAGUCUUUUAUCAAGUUUGCUCAUAUUAAUUUGAUUGGCCCCUUUUAGGGGUCUCUAGGGCUAAAAAUAGAAAAAACCUUUAGACAUCUUCUUCUACAGAACUAAUGGAUGGAUGAUCACCAAACUUUGUCUGUAGCAUUCUUGGGUAGUCUUUUAUCAAGUUUGCUCAUAUUAAUUUGAUUGGCCCCUUUAGGGGCAGCUAAAGCUAAAAAUAGAAAAACCUUUAAACAUUUAUCUAGAGAACUAAUGGAUGGAUGAUCACCAAACUUUGUCUGUAGCAUUCUUGGGUAGUCUUUUAUCAAAUUUGCUCAUAUUAAUUUGAUUGGCCCCUUUUAGAGAUCUCUAGGGCAAAAAAUAGAAAAACCUUUAAACGUCUUCUUCUAUAGAACUAAUGGAUGGAUGAUCACCAAACUUUGUCUGUAUCAUUCUUAGGUAGUUUUUUAUCAAGUUUGCUCAUAUAAAUUUGAUUGGCCCCUUUUAGGGGCCGCUAAAGCUAAAAAUAGAAAUACCUUUAAACAUCUAUUUCUACAGAACUAAUUGAUGGAUGUUCACCAAACUUUGUCUGUAGCAUUCUUGGGUAGUCUUUUAUCAAAUUUGCUCAUAUUAAUUUGAUUGGCCCCUUUGAGGAGGCUCUAGAGCUAAAAAUAGAAAAACCUUUAAACGUCUUCUUCUAUAGAACUAAUUGAUGAAUGAUCACCAAAUUUUGUCUGUAGCAUUCUUGGGUAGUCUUAUAUCAAGUUUGCUCAUAUUAUUGUGAUUGGCCCCUUUUAGGGGCAGCUAAAGCUAAAAAUAGAAAUACCUUUAAAUGUCUAUUUCUACAGAACUAAUUGUCUGUAGCAUCCUUAGGUAUGCUGUUAUCAAAUUUGCUCAUAUUAAUUUGAUAAUAUUAAUUGGGUCGCUUGCGCAUGCGCAUAGCGAGCCAAAGUUAUAAGCUACAUCUCAAGCUUAUGGCGAACCGAAUUUUGGCUGAAAUAUACUUGCAUGUAGUAAAUAGUUCUGUAUGGUCGGUAACAAGUUAGAAAAUCCGUACCUUCAUUCACUACAGGAGGGUUAUCAUACAUUUUGAAAUGUAUCUUGAUAUCGAAAAUUACAGUAAAUUUGGGCUGUGUACAGAAAAAAUAUCAAUGCGCGAUUGAAUCACGUGACAGGUCACUGGGGUCAGCCAUAUUUUUUCGAUGUAAACAUUUCGUCAUCCAGGAUAUUUUGAAGAAAUUGUGUGUGAUAUAACAAACUGUUGUGUGAGGUUUUUAAUGUGACAUGGUCAAGACAUACUAUGAUAGUAUUGUGCAGUAUGACUUCUGUCAUGUUACUGUUUGAUAACAGUGAAGGUACAGUAGGUUCAGACAAGUUAUAUACAUGUAUACAGGACAAGACAGCACAAACCGGCAGUUUGUUAUAACAGCAAAAAGUGAUGAAGUUUCAGCCAUGAUGAUGAUGAUGAUGAUCCUAUUUAUAAAUUCUUUGCAAUUAUCUGUAAGGAAGAGGUUUCUGCUGCAGAGAAGAAAAAAUUCAUACAGUAAGAAGUUGCCGCCCACUCUGUUCAAAUGAAGCUGUCUGAAGUACCCAGUAGAACAAUGUUUUAUUUCUGGAACAACUUAAUUGAAGUGAAGCUUACUAUGUGAAGGAGUUAUUUCUGUAUUCAAAAGGAAACUUCAGCAUACAGAAUACCAAUUGAGAUAUUUGUAGCUUUAGUUAUGGGAGAACACAAGAUUAAUUGAACUGGAAUCCCUUCAGAAGUUGACAUAGCUAAAUUCCACAGUUUAAACUAUAAAUUGACAUAAAAUUAAUAUACAUUGGUUUUAUUUUAUACAUGUAUCUGUUAAUAUUUUUGUUUUCCAUUAUUUCCCAAUAUUGUUAAUUUUGGAUAAUAUAAUGCCACAGAAAACUUGUCAGUCUUAGAUUAUGGCUGUUUAACAAAAACAAUCCAGAUUGUUCGUCAUAACAAUGAAAUUACAGUUUUGCUUGUUAAUAAAGUAAUUUACAUAAAUAUUUAAUUUUUGUAAGCAUGAAGAAAUUUGGAACAUACAAAGGGUAUUUGUUUCUUUUACAUGCAUGAUCCAAAUAUAUUUCAUAGAGUGAGAACCAGGUUCAAUACCGGUAUUUUCAUGAAUGGCAUUGAAAAACAUAUGCAAUGUAUAACUUUGCCACAAUGUUGGUAAAUGGAGGCUGCUAUUUUACUGUGACUGAAAGUAGUUCAGAUAUGACGCCUUAUUAUGUCCGAGAUCUAUAGCCCAUCAUACAAGCCAAAGAGAGCAGAUUUUUUUUCUGUGUAGAAUCAUUAAUUUUCAAUGUUCAUAUUUGAAAGUGAUUCUGUCAUAUUUCCUGAAUUUCCUUCAUGAUUUGCAAAUAUUAAUUAUCUACUCUUUAUUUAUCACAUUUUUCUGAGAAAUAAAUGUAUUUCCCACAAAAUAUCUGUUUGUUUAUAGGCUUUUCAUCCUCAUUCAAAUAAAGUCUGACUUCUUUUGAAAUUAUACUUUAUUGUGAAAUAAUCUAAAAGUACUGUCAUUUUUUACUGAAAAGCAUGUU